This 235-nucleotide long non-coding RNA is filed under the name Gallus gallus (chicken). The record is from RNAcentral. Lineage: Eukaryota; Metazoa; Chordata; Aves; Galliformes; Phasianidae.
CACCACAUAGCCUUUGGGAACAAUGAUAUCCCAACUGCUGAUGUUAUUGUUGGGGUAUGGCUUGGGAUAAUUUGGGGAUCUGAUCUCCCCAAAUAACUUUCUCGGGACUGGACCGGAACUGAUCACUCCAGUAAAGAGGGUGGCCCACAGGAGAAAAGGAGUGUGCAUCUCCAUACGCUCGGCCGCGGUGCCCGCUGCCCUCUCUCUGCCCGCUCCGUCCCAGCCCGAGCUGCCC